AGUGAACGCUGGCGGUAGGCCUAACACAUGCAAGUCGAACGGCAGCACAGUAAGAGCUUGCUCUUACGGGUGGCGAGUGGCGGACGGGUGAGGAAUACAUCGGAAUCUACUUUUUCGUGGGGGAUAACGUAGGGAAACUUACGCUAAUACCCCAUACGACCUACGGGUGAAAGCAGGGGAUCUUCGGACCUUGCGCGAUUGAAUGAGCCGAUGUCGGAUUAGCUAGUUGGCGGGGGAAAGGCCCACCAAGGCGACGAUCCGUAGCUGGUCUGAGAGGAGGAACGGCCACUGUGGACCGGAGACAGGGCCCCGAGUCCGACGGGGGGCACGAGUGGGAAAUAUUGGAAAAUGGGCGGAAGCUGGAACCAGCCAUUGCGCGUGGGGGAAGAAGGCAUUUGGGUUGGAAACCCCUUUUGUUGGGAAAAAAAAACAGCAGGUUAAAACCCCGUUGUUCGCGGGGGACCUAAAAAAAAAGCCGGGGCGAACUUGGG
RNAcentral lists this ribosomal RNA (491 nucleotides) under uncultured bacterium. Its description in RNAcentral is "partial 16S ribosomal RNA". It matches the Rfam family "Bacterial small subunit ribosomal RNA", at positions 30 to 506 of the family's 1533-position model. The record is from RNAcentral.